Molecule: long non-coding RNA, 457 nt
Organism: Larimichthys crocea (large yellow croaker)
Lineage: Eukaryota; Metazoa; Chordata; Actinopteri; Sciaenidae
Exons: 3
Source: RefSeq, a predicted model, not a curated record
UAGAUAGAUAGAUAGACUGAUUGAUUGAUUGAUAGAUAGAUAGAUGCAUGUGCAUGAAUUAGCAUAGACAUAUAUAGUUAUAGAUCAAUACACGGUAUCUAAUUGGCUAUCCAUCUCUCUGGGUUGAGGUGAUUGGUUGUUCAGACAAGAGACAAAACAUAUUUAAGCAGAGACAUCAGUUGGUACAGAUCCACUCCAGACUAACACGGCAUCAUCAACAACAGUACAGAGCUGACUGAUCGGAGCAGACAAGAUGAACAUCGUUCUCCUGAUCACCGCCACCUUCACUCUGGCCCUCGUUCAUGGGCUACAGCCUUGUCAGCAUAAGAAUAACAACAAUGCAUACAACAAUUUUGUUACGAGACACAUCAUUCGGUGGCCCUUCAACAGAAUAUCAAAGUCUGCAUGGGCAAGAUACCUCAAUUUUUACAGACUCUGUGGCAGAACUACAGUGCAG